AAAUCUCAGCUUCCCACUGCCAUAUUUACAGUUUGAUUAGGGAGGCACAUUUAGAUAUGCAGUGAUAAUUGCUUUGCUUAGAGAAAUUCAAGGUGAUAGAAUGCACGGUGACACCUAACCCAGACUGGUAGAGAAAGGGAAUUCUUCCACUGGGAAUGACAUGAUUAUCUAAAUAAGUAGGCUCAAUCAGGUCAGGAAAGGGCCUGAAAGACUAUUUCAAGCAGAGGGAAGGUAUUUGCUAAGGUCAGGGUGUGUAGUGGAGAGCAUGGGCAGUGGGAGAGAAUUAUGAAGUGUUUCAAUGACUAAAAGUAAAGUAACAAGCUCCUUGUCCAAGAACUUGGAUUGUAUCCUAACUGAAAUGAAUAUGCACUAAGUGUUUGAAGAAGAGGGAUGAAAUGGUCAAGUUUUCAUUACACAAAAAUAACCUGUUCCUUUCAUUUUAUGUUUAUUUAUUUUUUUAAUUUUCUGACUGCUCCUUUCUGGAAAUCUCAAAUUUAUAUUUGCCAAAUAUUGUCGCAUUUUUGACGGAGAAUACAAACUAAGAAUGGGUUAGGGAACUGAGUCAGAAAGUCCCUGUUGUACAAUUCAAUCAUGUUUUUCUAAGGAUGUGCUUUUGGAUAUUAUGGAAACUAUCUUAGGCUCUCACUUGGAUCCUAGAAAAGAAGGCACCUGUUAAAAGGAAUGUCCAGCCCCACCUAAUUUGGCAGCUGCCCCUCCAGGCUAAUGACAUUAGGGAUGUAGUGGACUCAGGAGGCUGAUGAUGCCAUCUGGUCAACUCAUGUGACUAUUUCUAUCAGCUUUAUUUCUGCAACAUCCUGUGCCCACAGAGGGGACACAAAAUCGCUUUAUAAUUCCUUCACCAUAUUAAGAUACAGAUACACCCAGAACCUUAAAGGCAAGAAUAUGAUUGAAAUGUCAAAUGGGGACUUGGUGACCUAAAUUAUGUCCCCCAAAAGCCAAUGUCUUGCCACCACCAGUGCCCUACGGGUGGAGUUUCUAAACAGAUUACUCAAAACACAAACUUUCAAAAAGGGAAAGUCAUAACUCUCUGGUCAUCAGGGUAAUUAUGGAAUAACAUUGCUGGAGUAAGGUUUUCUCAAUGUCCAAGAGAUGAGCUGGCAAUGCCACAACAAUGUCCAAUUCUUAGUGGGUCCAAGACCAUGUGUUACAUUUCCCUCCCAUGAUUACUCACAGCUUCACAGUUCUGCUGUCCUGUUCGCCUCUCUGCCACCUCUUAACUGCACCUUUGACCUCCUACCCCUAAGUUUCAACCCUGUGAGAUUACUUGUCUUUUCAUCUACACUCUGGUCACUCUGACCCCCAUUCUUUAGAUUCAGGAUUUUCUCUUUUCCUGGAUUAUUCUCCAGCACAAGUAGAAAAAUAUUGUGCUUCAUUGGAAAAUGCAUGUUGUUUGAAUCACACCCUUUCAGAUUAUACAAUUGUAGUCUUUCAUUAUCUUUGAGCCAUUUUACAACGCUGUAAACUAAUAUUAAUCCAUAUAAUUCUUGUCUAUAGACAUGUAAAUUGUGUCCAGGGGUGAUUUAAUUGACUUUUCUUCUCCAUUGUGGAAAAGGCUACUAGUUUUGCCCCCAUUUGCCCAUUUAUUUCUAUUUUCCUGAUCUGUAAAUGCAUUUCUGGGUUUUCCCUUGGACUCAUUCUAACAUCUCUUCGGUUUCCUCAUUAAUUAAUUAAAUUAAAUCUUUAACACCUCUUCAUAUUUUUGUCAGUAUGAGAGUAUUAAAAAAAUUAUCUUUUUUUGAAAAUUAUCUUUUAAUAGAUGACAAAAAGAAUAAACACUAAACAAGAAGUCCUGAGCUCCUACUACAAUCCAAAGUGAACUAGUUGUAGUGCCAUAGGAUGAUGUUUCUCCUGAGACCUCUUUACUAGAAUAAUUUAGGUUGUUAUAAAUGCAGAUUCCUGGGCCUCUCCUUAGACCCACUGAAUCAGACACUCUAAGAAGAGGGUCAGAAAUCUCCAUCUUAGCAAGUUAAUGUCCAGGAGAGUUAGAGACUCACUAUGAGAUACGAUAAAAAGUAGAAGGAAAGACUUUCCAGCACCUUAAACUACUUGGAAAGAUAGAUUAAUGUCUAGAUGAAGCUAUUGAUGAGACUUUAGACUAAUAUGUUACAUAUACAUCUGGAGAUGCAUGUAUAAACCAAAUCCAAAUAACCCAAAGCAAAAUUUAUUUUAGAAAUAAUGAUAAAUAAAUGAGUGAGGAGUUUGUCACUCACAUCCCCCAGGUAAAACAUACCUUUUUAGCCUAAAUAGGUGCUAUAGUUUGAAUGUGUUCCCUCCAAAAUUCAGGUACUAAUAGUUAACAGUACCUGUAAUAUGAUGGUAUUACAGACAAUAGUGGGUUCUUUAGGAGGUGGUUAGGCCAUGAGUGCCUCCCCCAAGAAUGGGAUGAAGGACCUCAUAAAAGAAUAUUCUCACAGCAUUGUGACCCUUGCCCUCCCACCUUCCAUAAAUGAGGACACACUGUUCCUCCCCUCUGGAGGAUGCAGCAACAAAGUAUCAUCUUGGAAGCAGAGGAGCCAUCACCAGACAACAGAACCAGCCAACAGCUUGAUCCUGGACAUCUCAUUUUCUCCAGAACUGGGAUAAAAUAAAUUCCUAUUUUUAAAUAAAUUUCUCAAUUUCAGGUAUUUUGCGAUAGCAGCAAAAACAGACUAAGACAACUAGUAUGAAAAUAUACAUUAACAAAUAAAAUUAAUCAUAAUAUAUGUUUGCUUUUAAAAGAAAAUAAAUACAUCAGUAUGCUUUCUGUUGAUUGAUUGAUUUACUAAACAUUGAUUGACCAUCUCCACUGGGGAUAUGGCAUUUAAGAGAAGGUCUCUUUGAUCUUAGUACUUUUAUUGCUUUUUAAAUAGGAUCAAAUACACCCAAGGUAAAAAAUAGAACACAAUAUACGUUACAUUUUGGAACUGUUAGAAAUUCCUUUGAAGCUAAAAUUACUGUUAUCAUUUGACAACCUUUACCCCUAAAAUAAUGUGGUGCUCACCUACUUGCUUAAGUUACAGCACUUGCUGUCUUCUCAGAUACAAUAUCAGAAACUCAUAAUCUGAGAAAAAAUCUAAAUGGCAAGUGUGGGUUAAUAGAAGCCUCAUAAAGCAAGAGGUGUUUUGGAAGUGUAUGGAAGACAUCAAUAAAUGAUAUGUAUAACAUCAAGUGCAAAAGUGUGUGCUAGGAAAGUUCAAGAAAGAAAAAAAAAUAGUAAGGUAAGACCAGAGAUUGGGGAGUAUAUAGCUUUUGGGAAUUCAGGAAAUGCUAACAUCUAUGGAGAAUUUGCAUAGGUGAAAGAUCAGAUUGGAAGCCUUUCUCUGUGGAAGCAUCGUGGAUCUAAGUCCAGAAGUGAUCCUGAGCCACCUACUAUGGAAAGGUGUCAGUGAGCAAGAGCCUGUCUGACAAAGAUGGAAGCUGAGCAGACUUCUACUGCGCAUCGCCUAUGUACAGGCCAGAUUCCAAGAGGCUGAUAUUCCACUGCUAGUUUGAUCUUUCUCAGAUAGCUGGGUAGAGAGGGAAAAGUUUCACCCCAAAUACUAGAUGCCUUCAAACAUCUAGAUGCUUGGUGUUAUGUAUUUCAAGCAGCAGGUUUGAUAAAGCUGUUUUUACUCUCCAGUUGGAUGUUGGUUGUCAAGACUGUCAUUAACUUCUGGGAGUUCCCAAAUCCUCAGAGAGAGAGAAAUAAGCAGUUCUGCCUGCAAUCAGGAGCUGGCUUUGAGCCCCACAUGGCAACAUGCCUGUAUUUAAUUAGAAGUGGCUUAGUUCUUGGGAUUUACUGUGGAUUGAGUCUACGAAGCUGGAAGGUUUUAUCCUGAGUAUUCCACUGUCUUCUCAUGUGGAUUUUAUCAAAUUUCUCCUUUAACCAUAUAAGGGCUUUCAAAGUUGACAUAUCACACUUAGUUAUGAGGGGAAGCUAGUAGUAUGAUUGUGAGGUGCAUUGUUGAGAGACCACGCUUUGUAAGUGUUAAUAAUUAAAAUUAUUUUGAACACUAAUUAUGCUGAAGACUGGAUUUUCUACUCCUUCAGAUGUUUUCCAGUGGACAUAUUUUGCCCUUUUAAUAAAUUGAUCGCAAACUUAUCUUCAUUUCACCUUUAUGAUGUUAUACCUUUUCAUUUUUGUCUUCUUAUAGCUAGGGUCUCCUGGUCCCCAAAUGUAGACACACAUCUUGCACCAAUCCAGAGCCAUCUUGUAUAAGAGGCACCAUGGAUUUUACCAGCUUUAACUCCAAUAUUUGAACAUAAUGUUCAGCAUCAUCACCUGGCCACCAAGUCAAAACUGAGCACCCUUUAAUCCAUCAACAAGUUCUCUGCAGCCAUGCAAGGUUAUGAAAUGGGCACAGACAUCAAUAUACAGUCUUUGUGUUUAAGAGGUUCAUGGUCUACCUGAGAAAUGCAUCUUUAAACCUAAAAUAGACACUCCAUUUAUUCCAUAAAUGUUUUUUAAGCAUCAAUGGUAUAUCAAGCACUGUACUGGCUUCUGGGCUAUAAUAAAUAUAUAAAGACCACAAGUUUGAAUUUCAUAACAUUGAACUAUAAUGUUUAAAUAGUAUAAUAAUCAUAGUAAAUGUCCUUGAGGAGCUACAGAAGAUUCCUGUGUGAAGCAGAAACAAGAAGUUGAAGAAAAAACAACCGGCUUUGGGGGCUAUAUAAAAAUAUAACCCUCAAAUAAAAAACUCAAUAGUUUGAUUGAUUACCAAAUCAAUACAGCCAGAAAAUAAAUGUGUGACCCCAAAAGCUUGAGUGAAGAAAAUCUUCUGUAAGUCACUAGAAAGUGCUAAGGAGGAAAUAAAAGAAUGGUAUUGCUGAGAGCCAGGUGCUUUCUGUAGGACACACAGAUACAGAAUGAGGGAAAACAGAAAAUUCUAUGGUUGUGGAUUCAAAAUAGAGGCAUCACCAUGUCUAUCUCAUCAGGGUUUAACCGAGGAAACCAAACCAGUAAGAUAUCUAUAUUAAGAGAUUUCUUGCAAAGAAUUGACCUAUGUGACUGUGGGCACUGGCUAGGCAAAUCCUAAGUCCACAGAGCAGGCAGGAAGAAAACAGGCUGGGACUUGUAGGCACAGGAUGAAGCUGCAAUACUCAUGUGGAUGCUGCUCUUCUUCAGGGAAGAGUCGGCUCUGCUCUCAAGGACUUUCAGGUGAUUAAAUCAGGCCCACUCACAUUAUCUAAAAUAAUCUCCCUUACUCAAAACCAAGUGAUUAUGGACUUUAAUCACAUCUAUAAAAUAUCAUUAUAGUAACACCUAAAUUAGUGUUUGAAUAACUGAGAGUUGUAACUGAUAUGGUUUGGCUGUGUCCCCACCCAAAUCUCAUCUUGAAUUGUAGUUCUUAUAAUCCCCAUGUGUUGUGGGAGGAACCACGUGGAGAUAAUUGAAUCAUAGGGGCAGUUUCUCCCAUUCUGUUCUCAUGCUAGUGAGUUAGUUCUCAUGAGAUCUCAUGGUUUUAUAAAGGGCUUCCCCCUUUGCUCGGUUUUCAUUCUCCUUCUUCCUGCUGCCAUGUGAAGAAGGACAUGUUUGCUUCCCCUUCUGCCAUGAUCGUAAGUUUCCUGUGGCCUCCCCAGCCAUGCUGAACUGUGAGUCAAUUAAAUCUCUUUUCUUUAUAAAUUACCCAGUCUUGGGCAGUUCCUUAUAGCAGCAUGAGAAUGGACUAAUACAGUAACUUUACCAAGUGGACACAUAAAACUGAUCAUUACAAUGUACAGUGAAUAUUUGGUGAGUUAAUAGAUAUAUUCAUAACUGAAUGAAAGAGGAUGGUGAUCCCUACUUCAGGGUGGUAUUAUGAGAGUUAAAAGGGUUAGCAUAGAUAGAACGCUUUUCUAUGAUUGAUCUAAGGUUGGCUUUUAGGGACUACAUUAUACAUGUGGGUUUUGUUUUCAUGUUUUUACUUGCAUUUCUAUCUCUGCCCACUCUUGGGUCUAUUUGGAUGUCACCUCUUCUUCUUCUGAGCUCCAGUCUAUGUAUUCCCUGUUCCACUGUCACAACCAAUGAAGUCUACACUCCUCAUUAGAUUCAUGGAACCCAGAUGCCAGCCAAAGACAUCUCUUUCCCUCAUGACCCAGUUGAAAAAAUUCUCCACCCCUCUGUUAAUUCUAGAAUAUUUAGGAGUAAAGGUCUUUUCCCUCAGAUAUCUGUCAAUUCCCAGCCUUAUAUCUCAAAGCCCCUUUUCAUCCAGGUUUCCUAGAUCAUUUUUUGUCAUCUCUGUGCUAUAAUUCAUUAACCCAGGCAUAAAACUCAUCAACUACUAACAUCCUCUUCCAUCCCAGACUCCCCUCACACCAAUAAUUCUUGAAUACAGCAACCCAAAUGGAGACUUUUAAGUAAAAUUGAAGGUAAAUUUAAUUGCAGGAGCACCUACAACAUUAACCUUUAAAUAGAGAUCCUAAUUCUUUAAAAAAAAAAGUAUUGUCUUCCCUCCCCUACUCUAAGCAAUAUGCAAUAGUGGCUCUUCAAUUGUCCCAGACUCUUCUUCUCUUCCUGGACUGCCCAUCUCCUGAUCAACCCUUAAUUUGUCUUCCUUCUCUUACCCUUCUUUUCAGGAUUGAAUUAAUGAAUCCUUUCUUUUCACUCAUGCAGGGUAAAUUUCUGCCUCCCUGGGCCUUUCUGUUUACUGACCACAACAACCUCAGAUUAUACCUCUUCUACUCCAAGUGCUUUCAAAGAAAGUCCUCUGCCAAGGCAAAUUCAUUACAUUUUUUCCCUCUACCUGUUUGCCUUUAUUCUCUUUUGUAUUUCAUCUUCUCAUCUAGAUUGAAUAAUCUUUGAGAGCACAGAUGUUAAUUUAUAUUUUUUCCUUUCCAUUUCUACUCAGCAUGAGGUGUCCAUUGAACAAACCUGAUGAAUUUUUAUUGCUUAAUAUCUUGCUAGAGGUGGGGAGAGAGGUUGGGGGUGGUUAAGGAACUAUCAGCUAGCCUAAGAGAUAUUAGAGCUGCAGAGAUUUGGCUAUCUUGUUCAACAUUAUAUGCUUAGGGGUUAGUACAUAGGCUUGCAAAUAGCAGAUAUGAAUAAAAAAUUAUUGAAUGAGUAAAUGAAUUUAAAAUAUAAGUUACUUAGGCAGUAUCUUUAGGCAUAUCUGUGUUUAUGUGGUAUUCAAUGGCCCUCAAAUGUCUACAUCCUAAUUCCUAAGAUCUGUAAACAUUAAUUUGCAUGACAAAAGAGACUUUACAGAUAUGAUUAAAUGAAAGGAUUUUGAGAUGCAGAUAAUAUCCUGUAUUCUUCAUGUGGAACCAAUGUAUUUACAAGGGUCCUUACAAGUAAAACAGAGAAGCAGGAAAAUGAGGGUCGCCAAAAAAAAAAAAAAACGUGAAGACAGAGAAGAGGUUAGAGUGAUGUUGGCUUUAGAGAUGGAAGGAGUCACAAGCUGUCUUAGUCUGUUUAGUGUUGUUAUAAAGUAAUAACUGAAGCUGGGUAAUUUAUUUUAAAAAGGUUUAUUUUGCUCACUAUUCUCAUGUCUGGAAAAGUUUAAUAUUGGGUAGCUGCAUCUGGCAAGGGCCUCAGGCUGUUUCCACUCAUGUCAGAACGUAAAGGGGAGCUGGUGUGUAUAGAGAUCAUGUGGGGAGAGAGGAAGCAAGAGAGAGGGAGGAGGGGCCAUGCUUUUUUUUUUUUUUUAAACAACCAGCUCUUUUUUUAAAAAAAAAAUUAUACUUUUAGUUCUGGGAUAUAUGUGCAGAACGUGCAGGUUUGCUACAUAGGUAUACACAUGCCAUGGUGGUUUGCUGCACCCAUUAACCUGUCUUCUACAUUAGGUAUUUCUCCUAAUGCUAUCCCUCCCUUAACCCCCAACCCCUGACAGGCUCUGGUGUGUGAUGUUCCCCUCCCUGUGUCCAUGUGUUGUCAUUGUUCAUCUCCCACUUAUGAAUGAUAACAUGCAGUGUUUGGUUUUCUGUCCUUGUGAUAGUUUGCUGAGAAUGAUGGUUUCCAGCUUCAUCCAUGUCCCUGCAAAGGACAUGAACUUAUCCUUUUUAUGGUUGCAUAUUAUUCCAUGAUGUAUAUGUGCCACAUUUUCUUUAUCCACUCUAUCAUUGAUGGGCAUUUGGGUUGGUUCCAAGUCUUUGCUAUUGUGAACAGUGUUGCAGUAAACAUAUGUGUGCAUGUGUCUUUGUAGUACAGUCAUUUAUAAUCCUUUGGGUAUAUACCCAGUAAUGGGAUUGCUGGGUCAAACGGUAUUUCUGGUUCUAGAUCCUUGAGGAAUUGCCACACUGUCUUCCACAAUGGAACAACCAGUUCUCUUAAGAAUAAAAGUGAGAACUCACUUCCCUGGCCCCAGAGAGAGCAAAAGAGCAUUAAUCUAUUCAUAAGCAAUUCAUCCCCAUCACCCAAACACCUCCCAUUAGGCCCUACCUCCAACAUUGGGAUCAAAUUUCAACAUGAGGUUUUUAGGGGACAAACAUCCAAACUAUGUCACAAGCCAAGUAAUGUAAGCAGCCUCUAAAAGAUGGAAGAGGCAAGGAAACAGAUUCUCCCCUAAAGCCUACAGAAGGAAAGCAGCCCUGCCAACUUCUUGAUUUUAACCCAGUAAGACCUGUUUUGGACUUUGGACACCCAGAGCUGUAAGAUGAUUAUGUUGUUUUAAGCCAUUAAGCUUGAGGAAGUUUGUUACAGCAGCAAUUGGAAACUAAUACAGAUCAUAUUCUAAUUCAAUUAGCAUUGUUCCCAGUUCUCUGGACCUCAGAUUUCUUUCCUGAAAAACAUUAAAAAUAAUACCUGAAAGUUUAGCACACAAGUGCAGUACUUAUUUACUAGAGAGAUCAGCAUUUGUUUAGGCUCUAAAUAGAUUUGAGGAUGAAAUUAAAUAGCAUAAAUAAAGUUCCUAGUGAUGUUUCUGAUAAAAAGUAUUUCCUUCAAAAUGCCAGAGGCAGGUCCUAAAAACCCACAAAGUAGGUGAACUGGCAAAAGACUGUAAAAAGCAAAGUAGAGGUUCCUCUUCAAAGACUUUCCUCUCCAUCUAAUUAGGAAUAAAUAGUAACUUCUCUUAGAAGCAAAAUUUAUUCAAAGAGCUGUGCUAACAUUCUUAAAUAUCUGCUAGCCGUAAUAGAGAAAUCAAUGUACUUUAUGUUCUUAGCUCCCACAAUUUAACCUAAAUAUUUGCCUUGGCAUGCUUAUAUUGGUCCAAGCAAGCAUUAGGUCAUAGCCUGUUCCUCUUCUUUAUUUUAAGGUGUUUUUACCUUUGUCAGCAUGCCACAAGUUACUUCCUCCUUCCUUUGUUCUCCUCUGCCUUUGACUCUUUUAAAGAGUUUAAGUUGCUAGCCAAUCAGGACAAAUACAGAAUGUGAGGUCCCUUUCCAGCCAAUGGAAACCGGACACAGCAGGAAGGUGGAUGGGUCAGGUUAUAAAUGACCCUGUCUCCUUUGUUCGGUGUACUCUCGUGGCAAAACUGCUGGCAAGUGUACCCUUUCUGCAAUAGGUAAAAAUUGCCUUGCUGAGGAAAUUAAAUUUAUGUUCAAGUACUAUUUCUUUACUGCACCAGGGAACAAGCAUUUCUAACAACACUAUGUAAUUUAAUUUCAGGAACCUAGAAAAGUGGGAUGAAGAACUGAGGUUGCUAAUAAAUCUAUACAACUUAUAAGUAAAUAUUUAAUUUACUAAUAUAUAAUAAUAAAGACAUCAUUGUAAGACAAUGUUAAAACAUUUUACACAUUUUAAAUGUGCAAUAGUAAAUCCUUCACUAUUCAUGGAUAUUUGGAAUCCCUUGUCACCAGAAGCUCUUAAGGAAAUAACUUCUACUUUGUUGCAAAUAUGUUCUUGGCUUAGUUGAGGUAACGCAAAUACUAGAAUACUUGUUUAACAGCUUAUUCUUCCCUGAAGCUGGUCCUGCAGUCCCUGCCAGUGGGAUCUUAUGUCUCCAGGAGUACUUAACACCCCUAAUGGCCCCACCUUUUAAGCCUCCCUGGGACCUGCCCUAGCAGUACCUCUUAUACCUACUCCACUUCCUCCUCAUGGCCUCCUGAAGAAUGCCAUUCUAAAAUUAGGUUCUAUUUUCCUCGCCCGCGUUCUCUUUUGCAAAGCCUCCAAAAAAUUUACUUUGCUUCUCUGCGCCUGCUUUAUCUCUAUUUUCUACACUUGCUCCUUCUUUUUCUAAUUAUCUAUAAUAGGUGUCACAAAAUUCGCGUUUGUUGGAACCAAAAUUUCCAUGGUUGCCUCAAAAUAUACAGAUGUAAAUUUGCAUAUAAUUAAAUUUUGCAUAAGGGAAACUCUCAUUUGGGGAGAUACGCAAUGCCCAAUAAAUGGCAGUUUCCUUCUCCAAUGUCCCCAGGCCAGCCUCCCAGUCUGUGUGCUUCUCCCUGGCUGCAGCUACCAGGACUCUGCUCUGGGGAUUUACGGACAAGGGUAUCAAGUUUUAAUUAAACUAACCCUCUCAAACUGAAUGAGUGGCUUAAAAUCUUCCUGUAAAGAAACUGCAAAAUAAUAAUGCUGGCAUCGAGCAGUUAAGAAAAGAGCAGAGCCAGCACCCCCCUAA
This 10451-nucleotide long non-coding RNA is filed under the name Pongo abelii (Sumatran orangutan). Its description in RNAcentral is "lincRNA". Lineage: Eukaryota; Metazoa; Chordata; Mammalia; Primates; Hominidae. The record is from RNAcentral.